GGAGAGUUGCCUGAGUGGUCGAAAGGGGCCGCCUGCUAAGCGGUUGUAGCAGCGUAGAGCUGUUACCCAGGGUUCGAAUCCCUGACUCUCCGCCA
This 95-nucleotide transfer RNA is filed under the name Armatimonadota bacterium. Its description in RNAcentral is "Armatimonadetes bacterium (activated sludge metagenome) tRNA-Ser". It matches the Rfam family "tRNA". Rfam says of the family: Transfer RNA (tRNA) molecules are approximately 80 nucleotides in length. Their secondary structure includes four short double-helical elements and three loops (D, anti-codon, and T loops). Further hydrogen bonds mediate the characteristic L-shaped molecular structure. tRNAs have two regions of fundamental functional importance: the anti-codon, which is responsible for specific mRNA codon recognition, and the 3' end, to which the tRNAs corresponding amino acid is attached (by aminoacyl-tRNA synthetases). tRNAs cope with the degeneracy of the genetic code in two manners: having more than one tRNA (with a specific anti-codon) for a particular amino acid; and 'wobble' base-pairing, i.e. permitting non-standard base-pairing at the 3rd anti-codon position. Lineage: Bacteria; Bacillati; Armatimonadota. The record is from RNAcentral.